This is a long non-coding RNA of Haliotis rubra (blacklip abalone), 287 nucleotides long. RefSeq lists it as uncharacterized. The record is from RefSeq and is a predicted model, not a curated record. The transcript is spliced from 3 exons. Lineage: Eukaryota; Metazoa; Mollusca; Gastropoda; Lepetellida; Haliotidae.
GGUGGUUUUAUGCAGUAUGGUUAAGUGGGUGGAUGGGUGGUUUUAUGUUAGUAGGUUAAGUGGGUGGAUGGCUGGUUUUAUGUAAGUAGGUUAAGUGGGUGGAUGGGAGGUUUGUAAAUAGGUUAAGUAGAUGGAUGGGUGGUUUGUAAAUAGGUUGCUUGGGUGGAUGGGUGGGUUUGUAAAUAGUUUAAGUGGAUGGAUGAAUGGUUUCAUGUAAGUAGGUUAAGUCUGUGGAUUGGUUGUUUUAUGUAAGUAGCUUAAGUGGGUGGAUGGGUUGUUUUACGUAA